Molecule: ribosomal RNA, 405 nt
Filed under: uncultured bacterium
Lineage: Bacteria
Description: partial 16S ribosomal RNA
Rfam family: Bacterial small subunit ribosomal RNA
Source: RNAcentral
GACGAACGCUGGCGGCGUGCUUAACACAUGCAAGUCGAGCGGAGCGGCGAACGGGUGAGUAACGCGUGAGUAACUGCCCCCCUCUCUGGGGUAACAGUUGGAAACGGCUGCUAAUCACGGAUAGUGGGGGAUGACUCGCUGCCUAUCAGCUGUUUGGUGGGGUAGUGGCCUACCAAGGCGACGACUGGUAGCCGGCCUGAGAGGGCGACCGGCCACAUUGGGCUACGAUACGGACCAAACUCCUACGGGGGGCAGCAGUGGUGAAUAUUGCACAAUGGGGGAGACCCUGGUGGAGCAACGCCGAGGGCGGGAUGCCGGUCUUCGGGUUGGAAACCGCUUUCAGCCAUGACGCGGUAGUGGCAGAAGAAGCACCGGCUAACUACGUGCCAGCAGCCGCGGUAAUAC